This 508-nucleotide ribosomal RNA is filed under the name uncultured fungus. RNAcentral's name for it is "SSU rRNA". It matches the Rfam family "Eukaryotic small subunit ribosomal RNA", at positions 569 to 1078 of the family's 1831-position model. The record is from RNAcentral. Lineage: Eukaryota; Fungi.
AGCAGCCGCGGUAAUUCCAGCUCCAAUAGCGUAUACUAAAGUUGUUGCGGUUAAAAAGCUCGUAGUUGAAUUUCGGGGUCAGUAGGUCGGUCGUGCCACUGGUAUGAACUGGUUUUACUGAUUCCUCCCUCUUGAAGAACUGUAAUGCCAUUAAUUUGGUGUUGCAGGGAAUCAGGACUGUUACUUUGAAAAAAUUAGAGUGUUUAAAGCAGGCUUUAGCUUGAAUACAUUAGCAUGGAAUAAUGAAAUAGGACGUUUGAUCCUAUUUUGUUGGUUUCUAGGAUUGACGUAAUGAUUAAUAGGGAUAGUUGGGGGCAUUAGUAUUCAAUCGUCAGAGGUGAAAUUCUUGGAUUUAUUGAAGACUAACUACUGCGAAAGCAUUUGCCAAGGAUGUUUUCAUUAAUCAAGAACGAAAGUUAGGGGAUCGAAGACGAUCAGAUACCGUCGUAGUCUUAACCAUAAACUAUGCCGACUAGGGAUCGGAUGAUGUUAAUUUUUUAANGANUCA